UGGGGAAUAUUGCACAAUGGGGGAAACCCUGAUGCAGCAACGCCGCGUGAAGGAAGACGGUUUUCGGAUUGUAAACUUCUGUUCUUAGUGAAGAAUAAUGACGGUAGCUAAGGAGCAAGCCACGGCUAACUACGUGCCAGCAGCCGCGGUAAUACGUAGGUGGCAAGCGUUGUCCGGAAUUACUGGGUGUAAAGGGAGCGCAGGCGGGAGACCAAGUCAGCUGUGAAAAACUACGGGCUUAACCUGUAGACUGCAGUUGAAACUGGUUUCUUGAGUGAAGUAGAGGUUGGCGGAAUUCCGAGUGUAGCGGUGAAAAUGCGUAGAUAUUCGGAGGAACACCGGUGGCGAAGGCGGCCAAACUGGGCUUUAAACUGACGCUGAGGCUCGAAAAGUGUGGGGAGCAAAACAGGAUUAGAUACC
This 420-nucleotide ribosomal RNA is filed under the name uncultured bacterium. RNAcentral's name for it is "bacterial SSU rRNA". It matches the Rfam family "Bacterial small subunit ribosomal RNA", at positions 355 to 786 of the family's 1533-position model. The record is from RNAcentral.